This 423-nucleotide ribosomal RNA is filed under the name uncultured bacterium. Its description in RNAcentral is "bacterial SSU rRNA". It matches the Rfam family "Bacterial small subunit ribosomal RNA", at positions 358 to 773 of the family's 1533-position model. The record is from RNAcentral.
GGAAUUUUGGACAAUGGGCGCAAGCCUGAUCCAGCCAUGCCGCGUGUGUGAAGAAGGCCUUCGGGUUGUAAAGCACUUUCGGACGGAACGAAAUCGCGCGGUUGAACAUUCCGCGUGGAUGACGGUACCGUAAGAAGAAGCACCGGCUAACUACGUGCCAGCAGCCGCGGUAAUACGUAGGGUGCGAGCGUUAAUCGGAAUUACUGGGCGUAAAGGGUGCGCAGGCGGCCCCGCAUGUCAGGCGUGAAAUCCCCGAGCUCAACUUGGGAAUGGCGCUUGAAACUACGGGGCUGGAGUGUGGCAGAGGGAGGUGGAAUUCCACGUGUAGCGGUGAAAUGCGUAGAGAUGUGGAGGAACACCGAUGGCGAAGGCAGCCUCCUGGGCCAACACUGACGCUCAUGCACGAAAGCGUGGGGAGCAAAC